GCGGGUGUAGCUCAGCGGUAGAGCGCUACCUUGCCAAGGUAGAUGUCGAGGGUUCGAUCCCCUUCACCCGCU
This 72-nucleotide transfer RNA is filed under the name bacterium. Its description in RNAcentral is "tRNA-Gly". It matches the Rfam family "tRNA". From Rfam's summary of the family: Transfer RNA (tRNA) molecules are approximately 80 nucleotides in length. RNAcentral also lists the same sequence under 4 other names. The record is from RNAcentral.